Molecule: ribosomal RNA, 497 nt
Filed under: uncultured bacterium
Lineage: Bacteria
Description: partial 16S ribosomal RNA
Rfam family: Bacterial small subunit ribosomal RNA
Source: RNAcentral
GACGAACGCUGGCGGCGUGCCUAAUACAUGCAAGUAGAACGCUGAAGAGAGGAGCUUGCUCUUCUUGGAUGAGUUGCGAACGGGUGAGUAACGCGUAGGUAACCUGCCUUGUAGCGGGGGAUAACUAUUGGAAACGAUAGCUAAUACCGCAUAACCAUGGAUGACACAUGUCAUUUAUUUGAAAGGGGCAAUUGCUCCACUACAAGAUGGACCUGCGUUGUAUUAGCUAGUAGGUGAGGUAAUGGCUCACCUAGGCGACGAUACAUAGCCGACCUGAGAGGGUGAUCGGCCACGCUGGGACUGAGACACGGCCCAGACUCCUACGGGAGGCAGCAAUAGGGAAUCUUCGGCAAUGGGGGCAACCCUGACCGAGCAACGCCGCGUGAGUGAAGAAGGUUUUCGGAUCGUAAAGCUCUGUUGUAAGUCAAGAACGGGUGUGAGAGUGGAAAGUUCACACUGUGACGGUAGCUUACCAGAAAGGGACGGCUAACUACGUG